This is a non-coding RNA of Neoarius graeffei (lesser salmon catfish), 71 nucleotides long. Lineage: Eukaryota; Metazoa; Chordata; Actinopteri; Siluriformes; Ariidae. The record is from the annotation of a RefSeq genome assembly.
GGUGAGGUGGCCGAGAGGUUAAGGUGAUGGACUGCUAAUCCAUUGUGCGGGUUUGAGUCCCACCCUCGUCG